GAAGUUGGUAUGCAGAGCGGCUUUUCUGCUCUUCCCCGGAUCGAAGCAGCAGCUGGCAGACAAAGAGGAUGGCAAUAAGAGCACUCUGGACAACUGAGGAGAACAAGCAAUACUGAAUAGCAAAGCAAGUCAAUCCAGAAAUCAAACUAUUUUCCAUAUCCUUCAGAGAGCAACACAAUUCUUCACCUUCCUCAUCAGGAUUAUCCUCAUUUUGCUGGGAUUAGAAGACUCCAAAGAAUUCCAAGAUUCUUUAUUUCACCAACACCAUUCAAAAAGACAGGUUAUAAUCUUUUUCAGUAUGUCACAAUCAUGUGAUACCUUUCCAGGACACAACCAAGUGUGUGGAGAAACCAAGAGGCUCCUGGCCAGUCUUA
This 374-nucleotide long non-coding RNA is filed under the name Naja naja (Indian cobra). RNAcentral describes it as "lncRNA (ENSNNAG00000009063.1)". Lineage: Eukaryota; Metazoa; Chordata; Lepidosauria; Squamata; Elapidae. The record is from RNAcentral.